GAUGAACGCUGGCGGCGUGCCUAAUACAUGCAAGUCGAGCGAACGGACGAGAAGCUUGCUUCUCUGAUGUUAGCGGCGGACGGGUGAGUAACACGUGGAUAACCUACCUAUAAGACUGGGAUAACUUCGGGAAACCGGAGCUAAUACCGGAUAAUAUUUUGAACCGCAUGGUUCAAAAGUGAAAGACGGUCUUGCUGUCACUUAUAGAUGGAUCCGCGCUGCAUUAGCUAGUUGGUAAGGUAACGGCUUACCAAGGCAACGAUGCAUAGCCGACCUGAGAGGGUGAUCGGCCACACUGGAACUGAGACACGGUCCAGACUCCUACGGGAGGCAGCAGUAGGGAAUCUUCCGCAAUGGGCGAAAGCCCGACGGAGCAACGCCGCGUGAGUGAUGAAGGUCUUCGGAUCGUAAAACUCUGUUAUUAGGGAAGAACAUAUGUGUAAGUAACUGUGCACAUCUUGACGGUACCUAAUCAGAAAGCCACGGCUAACUACGUGCCAGCAGCCGCGGUAAUACGUAGGUGGCAAGCGUUAUCCGGAAUUAUUGGGCGUAAAGCGCGCGUAGGCGGUUUUUUAAGUCUGAUGUGAAAGCCCACGGCUCAACCGUGGAGGGUCAUUGGAAACUGGAAAACUUGAGUGCAGAAGAGGAAAGUGGAAUUCCAUGUGUAGCGGUGAAAUGCGCAGAGAUAUGGAGGAACACCAGUGGCGAAGGCGACUUUCUGGUCUGUAACUGACGCUGAUGUGCGAAAGCGUGGGGAUCAAACAGGAUUAGAUACCCUGGUAGUCCACGCCGUAAACGAUGAGUGCUAAGUGUUAGGGGGUUUCCGCCCCUUAGUGCUGCAGCUAACGCAUUAGGCACUCCGCCUGGGGAGUACGACCGCAAGGUUGAGACUCAAAGGAAUUGACGGGGACCCGCACAAGCGGUGGAGCAUGUGGUUUAAUUCGAAGCAACGCGAAGAACCUUACCAAAUCUUGACAUCCUUUGACAACUCUAGAGAUAGAGCCUUCCCCUUCGGGGGACAAAGUGACAGGUGGUGCAUGGUUGUCGUCAGCUCGUGUCGUGAGAUGUUGGGUUAAGUCCCGCAACGAGCGCAACCCUUAAGCUUAGUUGCCAUCAUUAAGUUGGGCACUCUAAGUUGACUGCCGGUGACAAACCGGAGGAAGGUGGGGAUGACGUCAAAUCAUCAUGCCCCUUAUGAUUUGGGCUACACACGUGCUACAAUGGACAAUACAGAGGGCAGCGAAACCGCGAGGUCAAGCAAAUCCCAUAAAGUUGUUCUCAGUUCGGAUUGUAGUCUGCAACUCGACUACAUGAAGCUGGAAUCGCUAGUAAUCGUAGAUCAGCAUGCUACGGUGAAUACGUUCCCGGGUCU
Molecule: ribosomal RNA, 1372 nt
Filed under: uncultured bacterium
Lineage: Bacteria
Description: bacterial SSU rRNA
Rfam family: Bacterial small subunit ribosomal RNA
Source: RNAcentral